UCCAAGUUCUGGUGCCAGCAGCCGCGGUAAUUCCAGCUCCCCUAGUGUAAAUCAUCAUUGUUGCGGUUAAAAAGCUCGUAGUUGAAAUCGAGUCAUGCAGCUUGGAAACGGCUUUGCCGAUAUUCUUUGCGGUGACUAUUUUGUCGGUACUUCUGCAGGUUACUUCGGUGCCUGUAGUGUCCGGCGAGUUUACUUUGAAUAAAUUAAAGUGCUUAAGACAAGCGUUUGCUUGAAUAUCUUAGCUAGGAAUAAUAAAACAGGACUACGGUUCUAUUUAUUGGUUCAGAAUUCGUGGUAAUGAUUAAUAGGGACAGUUCGGGGGCAUUCGUAUUUCUGCGCGAGAGGUGAAAUUCGGUGACCGCAGGAAGACGUCCUGAAGCGAAAGCUAUUGCCAAGUCUGUCUUCUUUAAUCAAGAACGAAAGUCAGAGGUUCGAAGGCGAUUAGAUACCGCCCUAGUUCUGACCGUAAACUAUGCCAUCUAGCGAUUCGAUGAGGCUUUUAUUGCCUUGUCGAGGAGCUUUCCGGAAACGAAAGACUUUCGGUUCCGGGGGUAGUAUGGUUGCAAAGCUGAAACUUAAAGAAAUUGACGGAAGGGCACCACCAGGAGUGGAGCCUGCGGCUUAAUUUGACUCAACACGGGAAAACUCACCCGGUCCGGACACCGUUAGGAUUGACAGAUUGAAAGCUCUUUCUCGAUUUGGUGGUUGGUGGUGCAUGGCCGUUCUUAGUUGGUGGAGUGAUUUGUCUGGUUUAUUCCGAUAACGAGCCGAGACUCAA
This 778-nucleotide ribosomal RNA is filed under the name Phasmarhabditis sp. RNAcentral describes it as "SSU rRNA". It matches the Rfam family "Eukaryotic small subunit ribosomal RNA", at positions 554 to 1345 of the family's 1831-position model. Lineage: Eukaryota; Metazoa; Nematoda; Chromadorea; Rhabditida; Rhabditidae. The record is from RNAcentral.